RNA transcript from Bubalus bubalis (water buffalo), 1769 nucleotides. It is a transcript of the gene named RAB24, member RAS oncogene family, with no coding region annotated. The record is from RefSeq and is a predicted model, not a curated record. Lineage: Eukaryota; Metazoa; Chordata; Mammalia; Artiodactyla; Bovidae. The transcript is spliced from 9 exons.
CCUUCCCCCUACACCCCUCUCCCUUUCCCCGCCCCCGCCACCGCUGGAGUCGCGGCGCUGCGGGCCGGAGCUGGGUUGAAGAAGCGAUCCCCCUGGCUCGGUGGGGAAUCUGUGCCGGCGCGGCCUCUAAACUAGGUGGGCGAGCGAGCGGCAGAGCGAGCUAGCAAGUCGGGCGGCGGCGUGCGGCGCCGUUAAGGGCGCUGCCCCGCGCGCUCCCAGGCCGUCCCGGGUCCCAGGCUCUUAGAAGGAGAAUUCCUGGGCCCGAAAAGCCGGGGCGGACGGAGGCGUUGUCGUCACUCAAGCUCGUUGCGGCGUGUGGAACCUUAGGUUGGCGCCUGGGGUCGGGGACUGAGGUUAAGGGCGCUGCCUGUCGGAGCGGAGAUCCCGGUUUGCCUCGCGCCCCGGCUCAGGACCCUGACGCGGGUGAGGCGGCCCCGGGAGCAUGAGCGGGCAGCGCGUGGACGUCAAGGUGGUGAUGUUGGGCAAGGAGUACGUGGGCAAGACGAGCCUGGUGGAGCGAUACGUGCACGACCGCUUCCUGGUGGGGCCUUAUCAGAAUACCAUUGGGGCCGCCUUCGUAGCCAAGGUGAUGUCUGUCGGAGACCGGACGGUGACUUUGGGUAUUUGGGACACAGCAGGCUCUGAGCGCUAUGAGGCCAUGAGCCGAAUCUACUAUCGGGGCGCCAAGGCUGCCAUCGUCUGCUAUGACCUGACAGACAGCAGCAGCUUUGAACGGGCAAAGUUCUGGGUGAAGGAACUGCGCAACCUAGAGGAGGGCUGUCAGAUCUACUUGUGCGGCACCAAGAGUGACCUGCUGGAGGAGGACAGGCGGCGGCGACGAGUGGACUUCCACGACGUUCAGGAUUAUGCAGACAAUAUCAAAGCUCAGCUCUUUGAAACAUCCAGCAAGACAGGCCAGAGUGUGGACGAGCUCUUCCAGAAAGUGGCAGAGGAUUACGUCAGUGUGGCCGCCUUCCAGGUGAUGACAGAGGACAAGGGCGUGGACCUGGGCCAGAAGGCAAACCCCUACUUCUACAGCUGUUGUCAUCACUGAGUCACCACUCACUGGGCCUGGGGGGGAUUCUCCCAGGAAAGCUGGCCCUAGCUCUUGUCUGGGCUUGGGUGAUCAAGCAUCUGAGCUACCUGGUUUCCCGUGGCAGCAAAGGUGGCACCUGCCUGUGCUGGCCCAUGGAGCGGAGACAGCAUUGGGGCUGACUGAUGGGCACAAGAGGCAACCGCUGGCCCUGCUACACUAGCCCUAGGAAGCUCAGCUGAGAGCUAACGGGCCACAGUCAAUGAAAGUCUCAUGCAGCAGCUACUGAGCUCUAAAUGAUCUGGAAUGUCGAACACAUGGAACAGCCCAGUCAUUAUUCAGGAGGAACAGGGGCUUGUCCCACCUCUUUUCCUGCCAUGAUCUCAGAGAGGUGAGGACAGUGGGCUAACUCUGACCUCCUGGUUGACAAAUACCAAGAGGAUGAAGAUAUCCCCCCCAAAAAGCCUUGGAGAAAACCCACUUUUUAUAGGAGCUGAUGCAAAAAUAAAAUAAAAUCCAUCCACGUUUAGUGCUCUCCUGAUUCUUCUCCACAGGGGAAGCUGCCAGGACCAACUUCCUUCCUGCCACUCUGUUCUCAUGAGGCAACGUGCGAGUCCAGCUCCAGUGAGUAGAUGCUGCCAAGCCUGGAAAAGGAUCGCUGAUGCACUUCAUGCCCUGACUGUAGUGUGGGGUGGAGAAUGUAAAGAAUAAAACAACUAUUUAUAUCAAUGCUAAA